GUGCCCACUUCAGCAGUACAUAUACUAAAACUGGAACAGGACUGAGAUUAGCAUGGCCCCUGUGCAAGGAUGACAUGCAAAUUCUUGGAGCAUUCCUUUUUUUC
Molecule: small nuclear RNA, 104 nt
Organism: Meriones unguiculatus (Mongolian gerbil)
Lineage: Eukaryota; Metazoa; Chordata; Mammalia; Rodentia; Muridae
Source: Ensembl